AGAGUUUGAUCAUGGCUCAGAAUCAACGCUGGCGGCAUGCCUAACACAUGCAAGUCGAGCGAGAAAGGGUAGCAAUACCUGAGUAAAGCGGCGCACGGGUGAGUAACACGUGGAUAACCUGCCUCAAAGUGGGGAAUAACACCGGGAAACCGGUGCUAAUACCGCAUAUUCUGAUGAGAUCUGUGGAUUUUGUCAGGAAAGGAGCAAUUCGCUAUGAGAGGGGUCCGCGGCUGAUUAGCUAGUUGGUGGGGUAAUGGCUCACCAAGGCCACGAUCAGUAGCCGGUCUGAGAGGACGGUCGGCCACACUGGAACUGAGACACGGUCCAGACUCCUACGGGAGGCAGCAGUGGGGAAUUUUUCGCAAUGGGGGCAACCCUGACGAAGCAAUGCCGCGUGGAUGAUGAAGUAUCUCGGUACGUAAAAUCCUUUCGACGGGGACGAAACCGCAAGGUUGACGGUACCCGUAGAAGAAGCCCCGGCUAACUCCGUGCCAGCAGCCGCGGUAAUACGGGGGGGGCGAGCGUUGUUCGGAAUUACUGGGCGUAAAGGGUGCGUAGGCGGCUCUCUAAGUCGGAUGUGAAAACUCUGGGCUCAACCCAGAGCCUGCAUCCGAAACUGGAGAGCUAGGGUUCUGGAGGGGAAAGCGGAAUUCCUGGUGUAGCGGUGAAAUGCGUAGAUAUCAGGAGGAACACCGGUGGCGAAGGCGGCUUUCUGGACAGAUACCGACGCUGAGGCACGAAAGCUAGGGGAGCAAACAGGAUUAGAUACCCUGGUAGUCCUAGCCCUAAACUAUGGAUACUUGCUGUGGGGGGGAUUGAAGCCCCUUGUGGCGAAGCUAACGCAUUAAGUAUCCCGCCUGGGGAGUACGGUCGCAAGGCUGAAACUCAAAUGAAUUGACGG
RNAcentral lists this ribosomal RNA (901 nucleotides) under uncultured bacterium. Its description in RNAcentral is "bacterial SSU rRNA". It matches the Rfam family "Bacterial small subunit ribosomal RNA", at positions 8 to 916 of the family's 1533-position model. The record is from RNAcentral.